GCCCUCAUAGCUCAAUGGAUAGAGCAAUUCCGUCCUAAGGAAGAGAUCUGGGUUCGAUUCCUGGUGGGGGCA
This 72-nucleotide transfer RNA is filed under the name Minisyncoccota bacterium. Its description in RNAcentral is "tRNA-Arg". It matches the Rfam family "tRNA". Rfam says of the family: Transfer RNA (tRNA) molecules are approximately 80 nucleotides in length. Lineage: Bacteria; Bacillati; Minisyncoccota. The record is from RNAcentral.